GAAACGGGUGGUAAUGCCGGAUGCUCCGACUCCUCGCAUGGGGUGUCGGGAAAGAUUUCAUCGGUAUGGGAUGGGGUCGCGUCCUAUCAGGUAGUCGGCGGGGUAACGGCCCACCGAGCCUACGACGGGUAGCCGGCCUGAGAGGGCGACCGGCCACAUUGGGACUGAGAUACGGCCCAGACUCCUACGGGAGGCAGCAGUGGGGAAUAUUGCACAAUGGGCGCAAGCCUGAUGCAGCGACGCCGCGUGCGGGAUGACGGCCUUCGGGUUGUAAACCGCUUUUGAUCGGGAGCAAGCCUUCGGGUGAGUGUACCUUUCGAAUAAGCACCGGCUAACUACGUGCCAGCAGCCGCGGUAAUACGUAGGGUGCAAGCGUUAUCCGGAAUUAUUGGGCGUAAAGGGCUCGUAGGCGGUUCGUCGCGUCCGGUGUGAAAGUCCAUCGCUUAACGGUGGAUCUGCGCCGGGUACGGGCGGGCUGGAGUGCGGUAGGGGAGACUGGAAUUCCCGGUGUAACGGUGGAAUGU
Molecule: ribosomal RNA, 524 nt
Filed under: Bifidobacterium pseudocatenulatum
Lineage: Bacteria; Bacillati; Actinomycetota; Actinomycetes; Bifidobacteriales; Bifidobacteriaceae
Description: bacterial SSU rRNA
Rfam family: Bacterial small subunit ribosomal RNA
Source: RNAcentral